This 302-nucleotide ribosomal RNA is filed under the name Nesiergus insulanus. RNAcentral describes it as "eukaryotic LSU rRNA". Lineage: Eukaryota; Metazoa; Arthropoda; Arachnida; Araneae; Theraphosidae. The record is from RNAcentral.
GUUAGGACCUUGCCGUCCCCUCCCCCCGUGGUCGAGCAGGAACGCCGGCAGGCGAUUCCCCGUCAGGCCGUCUCCACUCUCCGAGUGGCCGGUCGACGGGUGGCGCCGUUGGCUCGUCGAUUACCUGCGCGGGGCUGUUUUUUUCCGGCGGCUCGCGGCGAGUAGGUCGGUCACCCACCCGACCCGUCUUGAAACACGGACCAAGGAGUCUAACAUGUGCGCGAGUCACGGGGUCUUGUUUAGGCCCAGAGGCGCAACGAAAGUGAAGGUCGGCCUCGACGCCGUCCGAGUUGGGACUCUCC